This is a non-coding RNA of Weissella kandleri, 94 nucleotides long. It matches the Rfam family "Bacterial small signal recognition particle RNA". Rfam says of the family: The signal recognition particle (SRP) is a universally conserved ribonucleoprotein involved in the co-translational targeting of proteins to membranes. The record is from Rfam. NCBI's taxonomy places the organism in Bacteria, Bacillati, Bacillota, Bacilli, Lactobacillales, Lactobacillaceae.
GAAAGACAAAGGCAAGUGUGCACUUCGAACCGUGUCAGGGUCGGAAGGCAGCAGCACUAAGGAGAUCGUAUACUGUGCCUUAAUGUAGAAUUUA